This 117-nucleotide ribosomal RNA is filed under the name Anaeromassilibacillus sp. An200. The record is from RNAcentral. Lineage: Bacteria; Bacillati; Bacillota; Clostridia; Eubacteriales; Acutalibacteraceae.
GUUGGUGUUGAUUACGGUGAGGGUCCACCCGUUCCCAUCCCGAACACGGAAGUUAAGCUCACUGGUGCCGACGAUACUUGGCUGGAAGUGGCCUGGGACAAUAGGGAGACGCCAACA